UACAGAGGGUGCGAGCGUUAAUCGGAAUCACUGGGCGUAAAGAGUGCGUAGGUGGUUAGAAAAGUUGAGUGUGAAAUCCCCGGGCUCAACCUGGGAAUUGCGCUCAAAACUGACUAGCUAGAGUAUGGUAGGGGGAAGUGGAAUUUCCGGUGUAGCGGUGAAAUGCGUAGAUAUCGGAAGGAACAUCAGUGGCGAAGGCGACUUCCUGGACUAAUACUGACACUGAGGCACGAAAGCGUGGGGAGCAAACAGG
RNAcentral lists this ribosomal RNA (253 nucleotides) under uncultured bacterium. Its description in RNAcentral is "partial 16S ribosomal RNA". It matches the Rfam family "Bacterial small subunit ribosomal RNA", at positions 524 to 776 of the family's 1533-position model. The record is from RNAcentral.